Molecule: ribosomal RNA, 449 nt
Filed under: uncultured bacterium
Lineage: Bacteria
Description: bacterial SSU rRNA
Rfam family: Bacterial small subunit ribosomal RNA
Source: RNAcentral
GAUGAACGCUAGCGGCAGGCUUAACACAUGCAAGUCGAGGGGCAGCGUGGAGCAGCAAUGCUCUGACGGCGACCGGCGGAAGGGUGCGUAACACGUGAGCGACUUGCCCGUCACAGGGGGAUAACCGGCGGAAACGGCGACUAAUACCCCAUAUGAUGCGAUGCUGCAUGGCAUUGCAUUGAAAGAUUCAUCGGUGGCGGAUAGGCUCGCGGGACAUUAGCUAGACGGCGGGGCAACGGCCCACCGUGGCGACGAUGUCUAGGGGUUCUGAGAGGAAGGUCCCCCACAUUGGAACUGAGACACGGUCCAAACUCCUACGGGAGGCAGCAGUGAGGAAUAUUGGUCAAUGGACGAGAGUCUGAACCAGCCAAGUAGCGUGCAGGAUGACGGCCCUAUGGGUUGUAAACUGCUUUUAUAAGGGAUAAAGUGAGUCUCGUGAGGCUUUUUGC